RNAcentral lists this ribosomal RNA (245 nucleotides) under uncultured bacterium. Its description in RNAcentral is "partial 16S ribosomal RNA". It matches the Rfam family "Bacterial small subunit ribosomal RNA", at positions 524 to 768 of the family's 1533-position model. The record is from RNAcentral.
UACGUAUGGGGCAAGCGUUGUUCGGAGUUAUUGGGCGUAAAGGGCGUGUAGGCGGCGCGUCAUGUCUGGUGUGAAAACGCAGGGCUCAACCCUGCGGUUGCGCUGGAAACGGGCGUGCUCGAGUUCCGAGGGGGGAGUCGGAAUUCCAGGUGUAGGGGUGAAAUCUGUAGAGAUCUGGAAGAACACCGGUGGCGAAGGCGGGCUUCUACUCGAGGACUGACGCUGAGGCGCGAAAGCGUGGGGAG